This 473-nucleotide ribosomal RNA is filed under the name uncultured bacterium. RNAcentral's name for it is "partial 16S ribosomal RNA". It matches the Rfam family "Bacterial small subunit ribosomal RNA", at positions 28 to 507 of the family's 1533-position model. The record is from RNAcentral.
GAUAAACGCUGGCGGCGCACAUAAGACAUGCAAGUUGAACGGACUUAAUCGAAAUAUUUCUAUUUUGAAGCGGUUAGUGGCGGACUGGUGAGUAACGCGUAAGGAACCUGCCUAUUAGAGGGGAAUAACAGUGAGAAAUCAUUGCUAAUACCGCAUAUGCCAUAGAUAUCACAUGAUAACAGUGGGAAAGGAGCAAUCCGCUAAUAGAUGGCCUUGCGUCUGAUUAGAUAGUUGGUGGGGUAACGGCCUACCAAGUCGACGAUCAGUAGCCGGACUGAGAGGUUGAACGGCCACAUUGGGACUGAGAUACGGCCCAGACUCCUACGGGAGGCAGCAGUCGGGAAUAUUGCGCAAUGGAGGAAACUCUGACGCAGUGACGCUGCGUAUAGGAAGAAGGUUUUCGGAUUGUAAACUAUUGUCGUUAGGGAAGAGAAAGGACAGUACCUAAGGAGGAAGCUCCGGCUAACUACGUG